UGUGCAGAAAAAGUGCUGGUGUCAACA
RNAcentral lists this non-coding RNA (27 nucleotides) under Homo sapiens (human). The record is from RNAcentral. Lineage: Eukaryota; Metazoa; Chordata; Mammalia; Primates; Hominidae.